This 584-nucleotide ribosomal RNA is filed under the name Rhizobacter sp. RDB-034. RNAcentral describes it as "bacterial SSU rRNA". It matches the Rfam family "Bacterial small subunit ribosomal RNA", at positions 102 to 682 of the family's 1533-position model. Lineage: Bacteria; Pseudomonadati; Pseudomonadota; Betaproteobacteria; Burkholderiales; Sphaerotilaceae. The record is from RNAcentral.
ACGGGUGAGUAAUACAUCGGAACGUGCCCAGUAGUGGGGGAUAGCCCGGCGAAAGCCGGAUUAAUACCGCAUACGACCUAUGGGUGAAAGCGGGGGAUCGCAAGACCUCGCGCUAUUGGAGCGGCCGAUGUCAGAUUAGCUAGUUGGUGGGGUAAAAGCCUACCAAGGCGACGAUCUGUAGCUGGUCUGAGAGGACGACCAGCCACACUGGGACUGAGACACGGCCCAGACUCCUACGGGAGGCAGCAGUGGGGAAUUUUGGACAAUGGGCGCAAGCCUGAUCCAGCCAUGCCGCGUGUGGGAAGAAGGCCUUCGGGUUGUAAACCACUUUUGUCAGGGAAGAAACGGCUUGAUCUAAUAAAUCGAGCUAAUGACGGUACCUGAAGAAUAAGCACCGGCUAACUACGUGCCAGCAGCCGCGGUAAUACGUAGGGUGCAAGCGUUAAUCGGAAUUACUGGGCGUAAAGCGUGCGCAGGCGGCUAUGCAAGACAGAUGUGAAAUCCCCGGGCUCAACCUGGGAACUGCAUUUGUGACUGCAUGGCUAGAGUACGGUAGAGGGGGAUGGAAUUCCGCGUGUAGCAGU